CACGCCCUAAACGAUGUCGACUGGGUGUUGGGGAAGCGAUUCCCCAGUACCGUAGCUAACGCGUGAAGUCGACCGCCUGGGGAGUACGGCCGCAAGGUUAAAACUCAAAGGAAUUGACGGGGACCCGCACAAGCGGUGGAUGAUGUGGAUUAAUUCGAUGCAACGCGAACAACCUUACCUACCCUUGACAUGUCCGAGAGCCCGCUGAGAGGUGGGUGUGCCCGAAAGGGAAUCGGAACACAGGUGC
RNAcentral lists this ribosomal RNA (247 nucleotides) under uncultured beta proteobacterium. RNAcentral describes it as "partial 16S ribosomal RNA". It matches the Rfam family "Bacterial small subunit ribosomal RNA", at positions 796 to 1041 of the family's 1533-position model. The record is from RNAcentral. Lineage: Bacteria; Pseudomonadati; Pseudomonadota; Betaproteobacteria.